This 984-nucleotide ribosomal RNA is filed under the name Triticum aestivum (bread wheat). RNAcentral describes it as "partial small subunit ribosomal RNA". The record is from RNAcentral. Lineage: Eukaryota; Viridiplantae; Streptophyta; Magnoliopsida; Poales; Poaceae.
AUGGCGGCGACGGGCGGCUCGGACGACGAGGUGCACUUCGACUUCUUCCCGCUCGUCCGCCAGUACAAGAGCGGCCGCGUGGAGCGGUUCUUUAACUUCCCCCCCAUCCCGGCCGGCGUCGACCCCGCCACGGGCGUCGUCUCCAAGGACGUCGUCAUCGACCCGGCCAACGGCCUCUGGGCGCGCGUCUUCCUGCCGCCCGGCGCCGCCGGCAAGCUCCCCGUCGUCGUCUACUUCCACGGCGGCGCCUACGUCAUCGGCUCGGCGUCCGACCCCAUGACGCACAACUACCUCAACGGCCUCGUCGCCGCGGCCAACGUCCUCGCGGUGGCGCUCGAGUACCGCCUCGCGCCGGAGCACCCGCUCCCCGCGGCCUACGACGACUCCUGGGAGGGGCUCAAGUGGGUGGCGUCCCACGCCACGGCUGGCGCGGGCGCGGCAGACGGCGCAGAGCCGUUGCUGGUCGACCACGGCGACUUCUCCCGCGUGUUCCUGGCGGGCGGCAGCGCCGGGGGCACCAUCGCGCACGUCAUGGCCGUGCGCGCCGGCGAGCAGGGUGCCCUCCCAGGCGGGGUCGGCAUCAAGGGGACUAUCGUGGUGCACCCCUACUUCAGCGGCGCGGCGGAGAUCGGCAAGGAGGCGACCACGGGGAAGGCGGAGAAGGCCAAGGCCGACGCCUUCUGGCGGUUCCUCUACCCGGGCUCGCCGGGGCUCGACGACCCGCUGUCCAACCCGUUCUCCGAGGCGGCCGGCGGCAGCGCGGCGCGCAUCGCCGGCGACCGCGUGCUCGUCUGCGUCGCCGAGAAGGACGGCCUCCGGGACAGGGGCGUCUGGUACUACGAGAGCCUCAAGGCGAGCGGCUACGGCGGCGAGGUGGAGCUGCUCGAGUCCAUGGACGAGGACCACGUCUUCUACUGCAUGAAGCCGCGGUCCGAGAAAGCGAUCGAGUUGCAGGAGCGCAUCCUCAGCUUCCUCCGCAAGUGA